Molecule: small nuclear RNA, 108 nt
Organism: Loxodonta africana (African savanna elephant)
Lineage: Eukaryota; Metazoa; Chordata; Mammalia; Proboscidea; Elephantidae
Source: Ensembl
GUGCUUGCUUUGGCAGCACAUAUACUAAAGUUGAAAUGAUACAGAGAAGAUUAGCAUGGCCCCUGCACAAGGAUGACACGAAAAUUCGUGAAGCCGUUGCAUGUUUUU